Molecule: ribosomal RNA, 485 nt
Filed under: uncultured Rhodococcus sp.
Lineage: Bacteria; Bacillati; Actinomycetota; Actinomycetes; Mycobacteriales; Nocardiaceae
Description: partial 16S ribosomal RNA
Source: RNAcentral
CACGUAGUUGGCCGGUGCUUCUUCUGCAGGUACCGUCACUUGCGCUUCGUCCCUGCUGAAAGAGGUUUACAACCCGAAGGCCGUCAUCCCUCACGCGGCGUCGCUGCAUCAGGCUUGCGCCCAUUGUGCAAUAUUCCCCACUGCUGCCUCCCGUAGGAGCCUGGGCCGUGUCUCAGUCCCAGUGUGGCCGGUCGCCCUCUCAGGCCGGCUACCCGUCGUCGCCUUGGUAGGCCAUUACCCCACCAACAAGCUGAUAGGCCGCGGGCCCAUCCUGCACCGAUAAAUCUUUCCACCACACGGCAUGCACCGCGCAGUACUAUCCGGUAUUAGACCCAGUUUCCCGGGCUUAUCCCGAAGUGCAGGGCAGAUCACCACGUGUUACUCACCCGUUCGCCACUCGUGUACCCCGAAGGGCCUUACCGUUCGACUUGCAUGUGUUAAGCACGCCGCCAGCGUUCGUCCUUGACGCCAGGAGUCAAACUCUA